This 253-nucleotide ribosomal RNA is filed under the name uncultured bacterium. Its description in RNAcentral is "partial 16S ribosomal RNA". It matches the Rfam family "Bacterial small subunit ribosomal RNA", at positions 524 to 776 of the family's 1533-position model. The record is from RNAcentral.
UACGGAGGGGGCAAGCGUUAUUCGGAAUUAUUGGGCGUAAAGGGCGCGUAGGCGGCUAGAUGUGUCAAAGGUGAAAUCCCUCGGCUCAACUGAGGAACUGCCUUUGAAACUGUCUGGCUUGAGGCCGGGAGAGGGUAGCGGAAUUCCCAGUGUAGCGGUGAAAUGCGUAGAUAUUGGGAGGAACACCAGUGGCGAAGGCGGCUACCUGGACUGGUUCUGACGCUGAGGCGCGAAAGCGUGGGUAGCAAACAGG